GAAGAGGGUUCUCUCCAACCCCUGUGACUUUCCCUUGUUGGUUGCCUCGGAGGGAUCUGCGCCCCGGGAGCGUCGAAGGCCCGCCCCAGGGCCCCCGCCGUCUCUUUCUCUAUGACGCUUCUUGUUAACACCCUCGCGGGUUUUUUUAUUUUCUGACGGAUGACUUGUUGCCGGCAGGCGUUACGAAAAUGACUCAAAACUUUCAACAAUGGAGCUUGUGGAACAGGUGAAUCAUCGUCUCUUUGAUAAUGAUUGUUGCCUCCGAAUUUAUGAAGGCAGUGAAUCUUCGAAUCUCUUAACUACCAUCGUCCCCCCCCUGGUGCUGGCGGUCAUGACUGUCCGAACCCCCUUUCAACCCUCAAACCCCUCCGGGGGGUCGGCGUUGGGGAUCGGCCCUGCCUUGUUAGUGGUAAUCUCCGAGGCCACGUGGUUGAACCGCCACUUCCUCUCGUGGACCUCAGAUUGUGUACUCGUAUCCGGAGAACUUAGCGUCAACAGCCGUUGAAGGAAAACUUCUGAAAUGUUGACCACGGAUCAGGUAGGAAUACCCGCUGAACUUAAGCAUAUCAAUAAGCGGAGGAA
Molecule: ribosomal RNA, 582 nt
Filed under: Trichoderma harzianum
Lineage: Eukaryota; Fungi; Ascomycota; Sordariomycetes; Hypocreales; Hypocreaceae
Description: eukaryotic LSU rRNA
Rfam family: Eukaryotic large subunit ribosomal RNA (bases 525-582)
Source: RNAcentral